Myodes glareolus (Bank vole) is the source of this 132-nucleotide small nucleolar RNA. RefSeq annotates it as small nucleolar RNA SNORA84. NCBI's taxonomy places the organism in Eukaryota, Metazoa, Chordata, Mammalia, Rodentia, Cricetidae. The record is from RefSeq and is a predicted model, not a curated record.
GCCCUGUGCUUGCUGGAGGUGUUGUGUAGGCACAGCUUUCUUGUGGCUGCGAUGGGCCAGAGAAAUCCUGUGAUUUAUGCAUGGGAGCUGUUUCUUCUCAGCAGCUGCCAUAGCCCGGCCAUUGGUACAUUG